GAGAGUUAAAAAGUACGUGAAACCGUUGAAAGGGAAGCGAAUGGAGUUAGCAAUUCGCCGGUCAGAUUCAGCCGCUCGUGUGCCGCGACGUGCGCGCUCUCGAUCCGCACGGACGAGACGUGCGCGGGUGCGGCGUUCGGACUGCGCACUUCUGGCCGGCGAGCGUCAGCGUCGGUUGUCGUCGAGCGAAAAGGUCGCGGGAAAGGUAGACGGGCCGUUCGCGGCCCGUUGUUAAGCCCCGCGCUCGCACGGCUCGACGGCGACCGAGGUCAUCCUAUUCUYCWGGCGACGCGUGCUCACSCUGGCGACCCRUUCGAUCGGUCCGACACGUCGAUCGUGGCGGACGGCACGCCUGUGCGCUCAAACUGCUGCCGGUCGAUCGUGCGGKGUUYGUACACUMCGCKUCCAAGMUGSUGACGACCAUMCUGMUCUAUCCACCCGUCUWGAAACACGGACCAAGGAGUSUMACAUGUGCGCGAGUCUCCGGGUGAUYGAAACCMGYGGGCMCRACSAAAGCAAAGGUCGWCUCGGACGGCCGAGGUGAGAAGCCACCGCAUUUUGUGGCCGCAUCAUCGACCGACCUAUUCUGCUCUCAGAAAGGUUUGAGUAAGAGCGUAUCUGUUGGGACCCGAAAGAUGGUGAACUAUGCCUGAAUAGGGUGAAGCCAGCGGAAACACUGGUGGAAGCUCGUAGCGAUUCUGACGUGCAAAUCGAUCGUCGAAUUUGGGUAUAGCGGCGAAAGACUAAUCGAACCAUCUAGUAGCUGGUUCCCUCCGAAGUUUCCCUCCGGAUAG
Molecule: ribosomal RNA, 794 nt
Filed under: Hanah hanagasa
Lineage: Eukaryota; Metazoa; Cnidaria; Anthozoa; Malacalcyonacea; Arulidae
Description: partial 28S ribosomal RNA
Rfam family: Eukaryotic large subunit ribosomal RNA
Source: RNAcentral